AGUGUAGGCGGUCAAGCAAGUCAGGGGUGGAAAGGCAUCGGCUCAACCGAUGUAAGCCUUUGAAACUGUUUGACUUGAGUGCAGGAGAGGUAAGUGGAAUUCCUAGUGUAGCGGUGAAAUGCGUAGAUAUUAGGAGGAACACCAGUGGCGAAGGCGACUUACUGGACUGUAACUGACGCUGAGGCUCGAAAGCGUGGGGAGCGAACA
Molecule: ribosomal RNA, 207 nt
Filed under: uncultured bacterium
Lineage: Bacteria
Description: partial 16S ribosomal RNA
Rfam family: Bacterial small subunit ribosomal RNA
Source: RNAcentral